UGAGUUUGAUCCUGGUUCAGGACGAACGCUGGCGGCGUGCCUAAUACAUGCAAGUCGAGCGAGCUUGCCUAGAUGAUUUUAGUGCUUGCACUAAAUGAAACUAGAUACAAGCGAGCGGCGGACGGGUGAGUAACACGUGGGUAACCUGCCCAAGAGACUGGGAUAACACCUGGAAACAGAUGCUAAUACCGGAUAACAACACUAGACGCAUGUCUAGAGUUUGAAAGAUGGUUCUGCUAUCACUCUUGGAUGGACCUGCGGUGCAUUAGCUAGUUGGUAAGGUAACGGCUUACCAAGGCAAUGAUGCAUAGCCGAGUUGAGAGACUGAUCGGCCACAUUGGGACUGAGACACGGCCCAAACUCCUACGGGAGGCAGCAGUAGGGAAUCUUCCACAAUGGACGAAAGUCUGAUGGAGCAACGCCGCGUGAGUGAAGAAGGGUUUCGGCUCGUAAAGCUCUGUUGGUAGUGAAGAAAGAUAGAGGUAGUAACUGGCCUUUAUUUGACGGUAAUUACUUAGAAAGUCACGGCUAACUACGUGCCAGCAGCCGCGGUAAUACGUAGGUGGCAAGCGUUGUCCGGAUUUAUUGGGCGUAAAGCGAGUGCAGGCGGUUCAAUAAGUCUGAUGUGAAAGCCUUCGGCUCAACCGGAGAAUUGCAUCAGAAACUGUUGAACUUGAGUGCAGAAGAGGAGAGUGGAACUCCAUGUGUAGCGGUGGAAUGCGUAGAUAUAUGGAAGAACACCAGUGGCGAAGGCGGCUCUCUGGUCUGCAACUGACGCUGAGGCUCGAAAGCAUGGGUAGCGAACAGGAUUAGAUACCCUGGUAGUCCAUGCCGUAAACGAUGAGUGCUAAGUGUUGGGAGGUUUCCGCCUCUCAGUGCUGCAGCUAACGCAUUAAGCACUCCGCCUGGGGAGUACGACCGCAAGGUUGAAACUCAAAGGAAUUGACGGGGGCCCGCACAAGCGGUGGAGCAUGUGGUUUAAUUCGAAGCAACGCGAAGAACCUUACCAGGUCUUGACAUCCAGUGCAAACCUAAGAGAUUAGGUGUUCCCUUCGGGGACGCUGAGACAGGUGGUGCAUGGCUGUCGUCAGCUCGUGUCGUGAGAUGUUGGGUUAAGUCCCGCAACGAGCGCAACCC
This 1137-nucleotide ribosomal RNA is filed under the name uncultured bacterium. Its description in RNAcentral is "bacterial SSU rRNA". It matches the Rfam family "Bacterial small subunit ribosomal RNA", at positions 1 to 1104 of the family's 1533-position model. The record is from RNAcentral.